Orussus abietinus is the source of this 555-nucleotide RNA transcript. RefSeq lists it as uncharacterized. The transcript has 2 exons. NCBI's taxonomy places the organism in Eukaryota, Metazoa, Arthropoda, Insecta, Hymenoptera, Orussidae. The record is from RefSeq and is a predicted model, not a curated record.
UCCAUGGCCCAGUCCCCUUUAUUCUGCUUUAUUCUGGCGUCCAUGCUUCCGCCAUUUCAGUACUCUUGGUUACGUUAGGUUAUGUUAAAUGAUAACGUGCGUAAGCACGCCGGUAUACAAGAAUUUGCUUUUCAUCGGGACUGUGUGUUAAGAUUUGGAAAGUUCCGUUUUGUGGCUCAAGAAUAUACAAACGUUAUACCGAAGCCAUUCAUAUAUACAGCCUGAUAUCGUUCUUCUGCGAACAACGUAUAGAAGAGAGAGAAGGGUAUUAUGGAAUACCAUUUACAUUUCUAAAAAUAACUACUGGUUUUUGAAAAAAAAUCCCAAAAUCAUCAUGAGUACAUACUAUAACUAAUUGUAAUGAACUGUCACUUGUAAAGAAAAUACUAAUUAAUUUUGUUGUUAUACAAAGAAAAUAAUUUCAAAAAAAUUUACAAAUGGAGGAUAAUAUGAAAUAGUCGGGUAAUGUAGAAUAAGUGGUUUAAACCAUUGAAAAACUAAUUCGACUUCAUAAAGCAGUUAUUUUUAAAUAUAAACACCAUGUUUUUAAGAUUA